Molecule: ribosomal RNA, 200 nt
Filed under: uncultured bacterium
Lineage: Bacteria
Description: partial 16S ribosomal RNA
Rfam family: Bacterial small subunit ribosomal RNA
Source: RNAcentral
ACGCUCGACACCUACGGAGGCAGCAGUUAGGAAUAUUGGGCAAUGGAGGAAACUCUGACCCAGCAACGCCGCGUGAAGGAAGAAGGUUUUCGGAUUGUAAACUUCUGAUCUAGGGGAAGAAGGAAGUGACGGUACCCUAGGAGAAAGCCACGGCUAACUACGUGCCAACAGCCGCGGUAAUCUGAGCGGGCUGGCAAGGC